AUUGAACGCUGGCGGCACGCUUAACACAUGCAAGUCGAGCGGUAACAUGUCAAGUAGCAAUACUAGAUGAUGACGAGCGGCGGACGGGUGAGUAACACGUAGGAACUUGCCCAGUAGAGGGGGACAACCAAGGGAAACUUUGGCUAAUACCGCAUAUUCUCGAGAGAGGAAAGCUGCCUGCAAAGGUGGCGCUAUUGGAGAGGCCUGCGUCCGAUUAGCUAGUUGGUGAGGUAAUAGCUUACCAAGGCGAGGAUCGGUAACUGGUCUGAGAGGACGAACGGUCACACUGGGACUGAGACACGGCCCAGACUCCUCCGGGGGGAAGCAGUGGGGAAUCUUGGACAAUGGGGGCAACCCUGAUCCAGCGAUGCCGCGUGAGUGAAGAAGGCCUUCGGGUCGUAAAGCUCUUUAGGUUGGGAAGAAGGUUGGUAGUUUAAGAGAUAAUCAACUUGACUGUACCAGCAGAAUAAGCACCGGCAAACUCUGUGCCAGCAGCCGCCGUAA
This 504-nucleotide ribosomal RNA is filed under the name uncultured bacterium. RNAcentral's name for it is "partial 16S ribosomal RNA". It matches the Rfam family "Bacterial small subunit ribosomal RNA", at positions 30 to 523 of the family's 1533-position model. The record is from RNAcentral.